GAUGAACGCUGGCGGCGUGCUUAACACAUGCAAGUCGAACGUGAGGGUGCAGCGAUGUGCCUGAAAGUGGCGAACGGGUGAGUAACACGUAGAUGACCUGCCCUGGAGUGGGGGAUAACCAUUGGGAAACGGUGGCUAAUACCGCAUACAUCCGGAGAACUGGGAAGUUUUCUGGGGAAAGCUCUGGUGCUUCAGGAGGGUCUGCGUCCGAUUAGCUAGUUGGUGGGGUAAAGGCUCACCAAGGCGACGAUCGGUAGCUGGUCUGAGAGGACGAUCAGCCACACGGGAACUGAGACACGGUCCCGACUCCUACGGGGGGCAGCAGUGAGGAAUAUUGGGCAAUGGGCGGAAGCCUGACCCAGCAACGCCGCGUGGAGGAAGAC
RNAcentral lists this ribosomal RNA (383 nucleotides) under uncultured bacterium. Its description in RNAcentral is "bacterial SSU rRNA". It matches the Rfam family "Bacterial small subunit ribosomal RNA", at positions 28 to 412 of the family's 1533-position model. The record is from RNAcentral.